ACACUGAUUGCUCCUGUGAUUUCUGUGUCUUCUGAUCGUCUCGUCACGUCUCGCUGUGUGAAUCUGAUUCAUGAGAUCCGCUGUGAUGCUUCAGGAUCUCAUUCCAGUCGUGAGACCAUGUUCAGAGUGAGGAAUGAAACUGCAGCGACUCCAAACUCAGGUGAGGUUCAGCUGAUAAACGUCUGAUUAUUCACUAAUAAAACACUGCAGAUCUGAUCCACUUUCACUCUUUUCUCUCAUCUUGACUCAUAUUUGUGAUCACUGUGAAGAUCUCCUGAAUGAAGCGUCUCUCCAGUACUCAGAUCAGCUGUGGUGGCUUCUGGCUGUUUUCAUCAUCAUUUUUCUGGUAUUUCUCUGUUUCUUGCUGCGUAAAAGGAUCUUCAGGACACUGAUGAAGGUCAGAUCUGAUGAUCCUCAUGCAGUGCAGGAAUCUGAGCAGUUCAAAGCUCCUGAGAUUGAGGUCUGAAUCUACAUCACGGCUCAUUCUUCAUAUCAGCUCAAACUGAACGAGGCACAAAGCUGAUUUCCAGAACCUUCACCGUCUCUGUUCCUCUGAUCCACCAGCCUCCACACCAUCUCCUCAAACCAUCACGACUGAUGCUGAAGACAUCUGAACCAGUCCACAACAUUAAAAACCAAAUAUUGAUUUGAUUUAGUUAAUAGAAGUUAAUUGGUAAAAAAAAAAUCCAUUUAUGACAAUAUUUUUGAAAGCAUCCUUACUUUAAAGCAUAUUUACACAAGUGCCUAAAACUUCUCACAGUACUGUAGCUUUGGAGGCAGGUUUCUUAAAAUGUCAUAAAAAAAAUUUAUGACAGUUUUUAACAUUUUUUGUCCUCUAAGGACCUCAGAGUAACUUUAAUUUAAAAAUUAUGCACAAGGGUAAAUUAGUGCAGUUAAUAUGUCUGUGGAUGGCACAGGUCUACUUAUUAAAAAAAAGUUAAAGUGUUGAAGGAUUUGAUGAUUUUACUAUACAAUACAAUGUAACAUUUAUUCCAAUGUGUAAUUUCUAUUAGUGCAAUACA
Long non-coding RNA from Cyprinus carpio (common carp), 1022 nucleotides. Lineage: Eukaryota; Metazoa; Chordata; Actinopteri; Cypriniformes; Cyprinidae. The record is from Ensembl.